UCAUCAUUCAAUGAAAAAAAGCUUUCUUAAUGAAAGAUGAUUUGAUAGGGCAGAUACUUGAAAGCCAUCUACUCUGUAGCAGUGGUGAAUAUAAAAUCAAAAAGAAGCUAGAGAAUCAUUAUAACUGUGUGUGACCAAAUACACAAUAUAAAUAAGUGGUGAGUCAAGUUUAGAAUAGAUUAAAUACUCCGUUCUUUAAAUUGGUCUUGAAAGUGAUUUUAAACUCACCAGCUUGAAAUGUGUAUUUUCUGUUUCAUGUGAUUAUUCCUGAUCUUAUAUCCUCAAAUCUUCAAAUGAAGGAAAUGUUAAUAUGUGUAAGCUCUGAAAUACUAAGAGUCCUCAAUAGCAAGGUCUUUUCUGAUAGCUUUAUGUAUAGUGUUGGUUAUUGAUUCUGUUACUGAUUUAAAAAUAUGCAUUUGAGUCUUAAUUUUUUUUUCUUUUGUAUUUAAAGAUUUGGGGUUUUGGUUUGUUUGUUUUUUAACCAUAUUACUUUUCUGUUUUUAACUACUAUUAUUAAUUCCUUGCAAUUGUUCUUUCCCCAACUUUCUCCAUCUUUCAGGGGCAAUACUAGCCAGUUUUGUAUAUUCUGAUCUUUUCCUCCCAGACUUCAUUUGAACACUAUCUAAUAAAGUUGGUCAUAAUUAUGAAUAGGAAUGUAGGUAAAUAGAAGCACAUGUAAGUCACAUAUUAUUAUAUAGUGAAAAAAAUAUAAAGAUAUUUUAAAGGGCAGAGAGUGGCUUAUAAAUGUUCUUUAAACCUUCUUUGCUUUCCUCUGUAUUGACCAUGCUUGUGUUUAAUUUGUUUUUGCUUCAUGUGAGUAUUGAUUGGAGUUACUUGUCACUGUUACUCAGUUUGACAAAAAAAAAAAAAAAUCAACCUUACUUUUCAAAAGAUCUUCAUCAGUUGAUCAGUUAGUGAUCGUGUCUCUAAUCUGAUAUGAUGAUGAUAAAUCCUCUCUUCAUUUUCCUUAUUACAACAAAUUACUUAGUAUAAUAGUAUUAUCUCCAUUCAUCAUACAGGAUCAUUAUGAAGGCAAAUAAAAUAGUAUAUAUGAAAACAAUUUUUAAAACAAAAGCUUUAUACAAAAUACUGCCCAAUUUAAAUGAAUUAAAUCUUUUUUAAUUAAAAUAUUUGCAGAUAGAAGUGUGCACAUUAAAUCAUGUGUGCAUGCAGUUUUAAAGGAAUUUGUUUCCUAAAUCUACAUCUGAAGAAGAAAACAAGAACAUACAUAUGAUGCCAGGGGUAAAAUAACAUUUUUGGUGAAUCAGUGGCAGUUUUGUUUGAGGCAAAAUCAUAUUCUAAAAUACAGGAGCACAUAUUUUGCAUUGAUUUCAUUAAGGGUCAGUAGCAACUAUCUUGAUGUAACUUGGUUCAGAUGUGAAGAUAACAUUGACUCUGGGAGAAGAGAGUUAAGGAAAAUCCUCUUUUUUUUUUCCCCCUAUGAGUCUUCAAUGGAGCAAGAGUUUAGGCUUCUAUAAAACCCAUUUAGACUUUCCCUAUUUCAAAAUAGGACAAUAUCCUUUGUGAACAAAGUCAAGAAUUAGCCCCCCCCCCCGCCCCCCCUCCCCCAAAAAAGUGAUUUUGCUAAUUCUUGACUUGGGUCACAAAGGAGAAAGAGCUCCACGGUGCAUGAAUUUUUAGAAGAUCUGUCUUAUCAGAGUGUGUGUUGAUUGCUGGUAGAGCAAUAUUGGUAUUUUUGUGUUGUAAUAAUACUUACAGGAUUUUAUAAGAAGAUUUCAUUUUCUUUAAGUCUUCCUCUGCAGAAUUUUCAGAUGGAAAGCUACUUUAGUAUUUGUAGAAAUUGGCCCUGAAAUUAAUUCUUACAGUAAAUUUCAUUUUAGAGGAUCCCAAAACCUUGAGAAUGCUGUGUGGUGUGGUACUGAUUCUAGCCUAACUUUCAACAUAAAGCAAUAAAUAGAACCUUAUGACCCUAUGGGCAAAUUCCUAAAUUCACUUUAUUAAUAAUAUGCAAUGUUGAAGUAUUUCUACUCAUUACAAUUAGCCUUUUCUUCAUCAGCUAAUUUACUUAAUGUUUACUUAAUGCUAAAAUUAUAGGCUCUUGGGAUUUGUAGAAGGAAAGUAAAAAAUGAUUGUUAGAUCUUUUGCUCCAGAGAAAGCUGAGCUCAGACAGAUAUGAACUCCACAGCUGGUUAGGGGAUGCUGCUUAGCCUCUCAACAUAGUAAUCCUUUUAUCACACUCCAAACUUUGUUAACCUUGGUAGGGGGUUACUUUUAAGAAGAAUCAACUUUUUAGGUAUGGUGGCAUACACCUGUAAUCCCAACAGCUCAGGAGCCUGAGGCUGGAGAAUCACAAGUUCAGAUCCAGCCUCAGCAACUUAGUGAAGACCUAUCUCUAAAUCAAAUAAAACAGAGCUGGGAAUGUGGCUCAGUUGUUAAGCACCCCUGGUUCAAUCUCUGGUACCAAAGGGUGGGGGUUGGGGGAGAAGAAGAAAGAUAAUUUGAGGAAUAAAAGGAAGAGGCUUGGAUUUGUUAAUAUGAAAGAACAUUAUUAAGAGGUAUUAGAGCAAUGUGUGACUGGUGCCUGUGUAGGUCAUACUGGUGCCUAUGCUAGGUCAGCAUAACUCUGAUGAGAACAGAGAGCCCGGAAACACGUCUGUGCAUAUGUUAAAAAUCCCAUAAUGUGGGAUUUUUAACAGAUUGUGGGGAGUUUUCUUUAGAGUGAAAAUAUAAUACGUACUACUCUACACCCUUUCCAAAAUACAAAUUACAAGUAUAAAAGAUCUAAAUAUGAAAAACAAAACAUUUAAAUGAGAAUCUAUAAAUUAUCUUUGUGAUUUUUGCAGAACAGAGAAUUUCUUUAAAAUCAGACAUGAAAACACAACAUUUACAGUAAAUAGGAUUGCAUCACACCUAAAACUUCUGUAGAACAAUAGGCACUUAAGUAAAAAGACAAGCUGCUGACUGGAGAAAAUGUUUGCAGUACACAUAACUGACAAGGUCAGUAUCUUGAAUACACUGGAAAAACCUAAGAACCUCCUGCAAAUCAGUGAGAAAUGACAGUUGUGUGUUAGAAUAGCAGUGCUCACCCAUUUUGGUCCUGAACCCCUUUACAAAUUUAUGUAUUUGUCUAUUAUUUAAUUAUUUAAAUAAUUAAAGAGACACUAGAUUGGGUUCAAGGAACUUGUCCUCCUGCUUCGGCCUUUUGAGUAGCUAGGAUUACAGAUGUCCAUUACAACCUCCCAGUCCCUUUAUACUUUAAAAAAUUGAUAACCCAGAGUUUUUGUGUAUGUGGAUCAUACGUGUUAGAAUUAAAAUUGAGAAAAUUUUUUAAAAGUAAAAAAAAAUACAUGCUAAAUAUAAAGUUUAGUGAGAAGAAUACCAUUGUUUUACAUUUUAUAAAUCUUUUUAAUGUUUAACUUAAGAGGGCUGGACUCUCCUACCUGCAGAGCAAUCAAUCCGUUUCUAUAUGUUUUAGUUAAAUACAUGAAGAUAAUAUAGCCUUACAUAGCUAUGUAAUUGGAAAAGGAGGGGCUUUUGCAGACCCUUGCCAAAUGUGUCUCAGAGCCCUUGGAUCACACUUGGAACUGCUGCAUUAGAGAAAUGGGUAUACUAUACAAAUGGAAAAAAAGCUUAAAUAGUUAAAAACCAUGAAAAGAGUAUCAUUAUCAUAAUAAUCAGGGAAAUGUGACUUUAUUGUUUCAUGCUUUCAGAUUGCUAAGAUUCUCACAAGAUCAAGUGUUGGUGAGAAUUUGGAAAUGGAAACAUUCACUUCAUUUGGAGUGAAAUUUGUUCAAUUUGAUGAUGUCUGAGAAAGUUGAUGAUGUACACGCCCUAUAACCCAGCAAUUCUCAGUAUGUACUAGAACCCCACUUUGUAAAAAAUUCUCAACACCACAUAAAAA
Molecule: long non-coding RNA, 3862 nt
Filed under: Marmota monax (woodchuck)
Lineage: Eukaryota; Metazoa; Chordata; Mammalia; Rodentia; Sciuridae
Source: RNAcentral